AUGGCGACAGCGGCAGCCGGCGGCGGGAGGGGCAAGCCGAAGGGGAGCAAGUCGGUGUCGCGGUCGGUGAAGGCGGGCCUGCAGUUCCCGGUGGGCCGCGUCGCCCGGCACCUCAAGGUCGGGCGCUACGCGAAGCGCGUGGGCGCGGGCGCGCCCGUCUACCUCUGCGCCGUCCUCGAGUACCUCGCCGCCGAGGCCCUGGAGCUGGCCGGCAACGCGGCGCGCGACAACAAGAAGACCCGGAUCUCGCCGCGCCACAUCCAGCUCGCCGUCCGCAACGACGAGGAGCUCAGCCGGCUGCUCGGCGGCGUCACCAUCGCCGCCGGCGGCGUCCUGCCCAACAUCCACUCCGUGCUCCUCCCCAAGAAGGCCGGCAAGGGCGCCGGCACCGGCGGGUCCGCCUCCCAGUCCCAGGAGUUCUAG
RNAcentral lists this ribosomal RNA (423 nucleotides) under Triticum aestivum (bread wheat). Its description in RNAcentral is "partial small subunit ribosomal RNA". The record is from RNAcentral. Lineage: Eukaryota; Viridiplantae; Streptophyta; Magnoliopsida; Poales; Poaceae.